CAAUUUAGAGCUUGAAUAAGCAUUUUAUUUACAUUAAAAAGAUAAUUAAACAUUUAAAUUGA
RNAcentral lists this transfer RNA (62 nucleotides) under Oenopia sauzeti. RNAcentral describes it as "tRNA-Val". Lineage: Eukaryota; Metazoa; Arthropoda; Insecta; Coleoptera; Coccinellidae. The record is from RNAcentral.